UACAUACUCCCUCUGUUCCGAAUUACUUGUCUUAGAUUUGUCUAGAUACGAAGGUAUAUAACACUAAAAUGAGUCUAGAUACAUCGAUCUAGACAAAUCCAAGAGAGGUAAUUCGGAAUGGAGGGAGUAUAUC
Triticum aestivum (bread wheat) is the source of this 133-nucleotide non-coding RNA. NCBI's taxonomy places the organism in Eukaryota, Viridiplantae, Streptophyta, Magnoliopsida, Poales, Poaceae. The record is from Rfam.